Molecule: long non-coding RNA, 1490 nt
Organism: Eublepharis macularius
Lineage: Eukaryota; Metazoa; Chordata; Lepidosauria; Squamata; Eublepharidae
Exons: 3
Source: RefSeq, a predicted model, not a curated record
CGGAGCGAGCCGCGCUGGGCCUCGGGGAGCGGCGCGGCGCUGCGGUUCUCCCCCUCGGGGGAAAGCAGGGCCAGAAGGGGGAGGGUUCUUUCCACGCCAGGACCCUGCGAAGCCGGCCAGGCCGCGGGAAGGGGUUGCCAUCCUCCAGGCGGGGUGGAGAUCGAUUCCCACAGAGAAAAAUGCCUGCUUCGGAGGGUGAUUGCUCUGGUAUUACACCCUGCGGAGGUCUCUCUCGCUUCCCAGGCUCUGUCUCAUAUCUCCAGGAAUUGCUCCAGGAAUUGCCCAAGUUGGGAAAUUCAUGGAGAUUUGGGGAGUGAAACCUGGAGAAAGAGGGGUUUGGGGAGGGAAAGGACCUUGGCGUGGCAUCAUUCCAUAGAGUCCCCCCCCCCAAAGUAGCCAUUUUCUCCAGGUGAACUGAUCUCUGUGGCUUGGAGACUAGUUAUAAUUCUGGGAGAUCUCCAGCCAGUACCUGGAGACUGGCAACCCUACCCCUUCUAAAGCAGCCAUUAGCCCCAGGGCAACUGAUCUGCCCAGCCACCACCUGCAGAACAGCCAACCUCAUUGGAGAUGAAUGCCAUUGAGCUUGCCCUCUAAAGGUGCCAUUUUCUCCAGGGGGGCUGAUCUCUGUGGCCUGGAGAUCAGCUGGGAUCCCGGGAGAGGUGAAAGGUCAUCAGUUCCAUUCUCAACAAGUCCAAGAGAAGUUGUAAUAAAGGGAGCAGUCCUUGGAGAGAUGCAGUCAUAGGCUGGACAAAGAUUAAGAACUGGAAGUGCAAUCCAGACUGGCCAGUUGCAGUGGCGAUGAGACAGCCCGGGACUGGAGAGGUGUCAGUUUGACCCGUCUUUCUUACCCAGGGACUAAAGGAAGAAAUUGAGCAGGAGGGAACAUUCUUGGGCCAGUUUGUGUUCAACGCUGAAGGAGAUUUAGUCCAGACUUUCCAUCCAAAGGUUAAAUCUUCUGAAUUGAUAGGCUACGUGAAACUGAAAGUGCUCAGCAACUGGGGUCACCUGAACUACACCUGCAUCUAUCGCUUCAGGGUACAUGGAGAGCCGGAGAAGAUCUAAGCUAAUCCUAAACUCUGUUUAAGAAUGCAGUGUUAAUGCACAAGCAAUGCCAUCAGCCUUCAUUGUUAAAGGUCAUAAUAGUUACAGAUUAUAAAUUGUUUCGCUAAUAAGUUAGGAACCAUAGACUUCACCAUUAUGUUGCCUUACAUAUUAUCUGUUGCUUUAAAUAUGUACUCCUAUAUACUACCUGCGCUUCAUGUUAUUUAAGGUCAGUCCUAGAAUUGAUUAUGUUCUGUUUCAGCAAUUCUUCAACCCUGUAUUGGAUUCUUGCUAAUGCUAGGUCUUUGUAAACUUGUAUUCAUUUACCGUAUGACAUUAUGGAAAUGUUCUUGACACUGUAUGGAAAUGCCUGCUGUUGUCCUUGCUACUGAUUGUACUAAUCUCAUACUGUGUAAUCCGCCUUGCGUCUCAGUGAGAAAGGUGGACUA